ACACAAACUCGAUCACUAACUCUGCUUGAUGUUGCAUAAAUGAGGGGAACCGGGGUUAUUAGAGUAAAUGCUAUGAGAGAAAUGUAUUGACUUCAGAUCCUACUGAGGUUUUCUAUUCUAUCCUAGUACCAGG
Small nucleolar RNA from Sorex araneus (European shrew), 133 nucleotides. Lineage: Eukaryota; Metazoa; Chordata; Mammalia; Eulipotyphla; Soricidae. The record is from RefSeq and is a predicted model, not a curated record.